RNAcentral lists this ribosomal RNA (720 nucleotides) under uncultured anaerobic ammonium-oxidizing bacterium. RNAcentral describes it as "bacterial SSU rRNA". It matches the Rfam family "Bacterial small subunit ribosomal RNA", at positions 565 to 1274 of the family's 1533-position model. The record is from RNAcentral.
GAGCACGUAGGUGGGUUUGUAAGUCAGAUGUGAAAGCCUUCUGUUCAACGGAAGAAUUGCAUCUGAAACUGCGAGUCUUGAGUAUAGGAGGGGAGAAUGGAACUUCUGGUGGAGCGGUGAAAUGCGUAGAUAUCAGAAGGAACGCCGGCGGCGAAAGCGAUUCUCUGGCCUAUUACUGACACUCAGUGCGCGAAAGCUAGGGGAGCAAACGGGAUUAGAUACCCCGGUAGUCCUAGCCGUAAACGAUGGGCACUAAGUAGAGGGAAUUACCGAUGUUCUCUCUGCCGUAGCUAACGCAUUAAGUGCCCCGCCUGGGGAGUACGGCCGCAAGGCUAAAACUCAAAAGAAUUGACGGGGGCUCGCACAAGCGGUGGAGCAUGUGGCUUAAUUCGAUGCAACGCGAAGAACCUUACCGGGGCUUGACAUGGUAGAAGUAGGAACCCGAGAGGGUAACGAACGGUAUCCAGUCCGUAGCUAUCACAGGUGUUGCAUGGCUGUCGUCAGCUCGUGUCGUGAGACGUUGGGUUAAGUCCCCUAACGAGCGAAACCCUUGUUUUUAGUUACCAGCGGGUUAUGCCGGGUACUCUAGAAAGACUGCCGUCGUCAAGACGGAGGAAGGUGGGGAUGACGUCAAGUCAUCAUGGCCCUUAUGCCCCGGGCUGCACACGUGCUACAAUGGUCGGUACAAACGGAAGCGAAGCCGAGAGGUGAAGCGAAUCC